GUUUUUUUCCCUUUUUUUUUUUUAAUCCAAUUAUUAAUGUUUGAAAUUCCUGGUGUCCCUUGCUGUUGCCAAUCAGGCAUUCAAAUGUCAACACCUCUGUGCAGGUCUGUGAAUAGUCUUGGCUUGUUGAUUGUUGUUGGUUCAUUUCUUAAUCUUUAUUACCACUGACAACAAUUCUUUUACUUGAUUUUUGCUGUAACUCUAGUCUGCAUUUGACUUCCUUUUUGUUUCUUUCCGGUUUCCCUUUUUCUUGUCUUGUCUAUUUUCUUCACACGAACAGUUGGCCAAACAGGAUGCUUUCCUACGGGUCUCUUCAGAGACAGAAGUGAUUCAAUGAAGGAAGAAAGAACUUCUUCACAAUUGAAGUGCAGUGGGAGAACUGUCAAGGUCAGCAACGGUCAGGCAUUGAUGAGGAGAUAGGAGGAUGGGGAUGGAAAUCACCAGGAAGCAGGCUGCCAUCACACCAACAGCUCUUAUCUCAAAAAGGCCAGGGACAUUAACACCUACACAGAGGAACCACGUUAUCUGCUCCUUUCUUCAUCGUGCAGAUCUGCAUUGGCCGUGGUCUCCAGUGGUUUAUUGGUUUAACUUGAACUCCUACAAUUACAUUAUUUUGUUUUGACAUUUAAUGUGAUAAGUGUGUCCCGCUGACAGCUUGAAAAGCACAGUGUAAUACCAAUUAGCAGGAAGAUUGGAGUCACUUGGCUGAAAGCUGUGCACACUUUUUGCCUUUGAAAGUCGCCAAGAAUCUCUGAGGAAAUGGAAACAAAACUGAUUGUGUGGCACCUUUUAAUGUUACUUUGUCUCAACAAGUGACCUUUUGGAAUUCCUCUAAAGGCAUACUUCUUUUUAAUCGCUAGAGUAUGGCUGCCCUCUUAACCAUUCCUUCAUUUUGACGCAUUAAUCCCUGUGACCUACGUUUCUACAUAUCACAGAGCAUACACUAGGGAACUGGAAAUAGACCAGACCUGCUCUGUUUUUUUCUUUUUUCUUUAAUAAAGGUAGAUAUUGCUUGGAAGAGCAUAGCAUAAAGUACUGAAAAUUAAAAAGCUUUGAAUUGUUAUGCAUUGUCCAUCUUUAGAAUUAACCGGCUCCAGAAGGUCGCCAUUGUUUUUU
This 1116-nucleotide long non-coding RNA is filed under the name Oryzias sinensis (Chinese medaka). RNAcentral describes it as "lncRNA (ENSOSIG00000011520.1)". The record is from RNAcentral. Lineage: Eukaryota; Metazoa; Chordata; Actinopteri; Beloniformes; Adrianichthyidae.